Molecule: transfer RNA, 90 nt
Filed under: Candidatus Parcubacteria bacterium
Lineage: Bacteria; Candidatus Parcubacteria
Description: tRNA-Ser
Rfam family: tRNA
About the family: Transfer RNA (tRNA) molecules are approximately 80 nucleotides in length. Their secondary structure includes four short double-helical elements and three loops (D, anti-codon, and T loops).
Source: RNAcentral
GGCGGGGUGCCUGAGCGGUUGAAAGGAGCGGUCUUGAAAACCGUUAAGGGAGCAAUCCCUUCGUGAGUUCGAAUCUCACCCCCGCCGCCA